Molecule: unclassified non-coding RNA, 377 nt
Filed under: plant metagenome
Description: partial contains 5.8S ribosomal RNA, internal transcribed spacer 2, and large subunit ribosomal RNA
Rfam family: 5.8S ribosomal RNA (bases 1-104)
Source: RNAcentral
AAAUGCGAUAAGUAAUGUGAAUUGCAGAAUUCAGUGAAUCAUCGAAUCUUUGAACGCACGUUGCGCUCCUUGGUAUUCCUCGGAGCAUGCCUGUUUGAGUAUCAUGAAAUCUUCAAAGUAAAUCUUUUGUUAACUCAAUUGGUUUCUACUUUGGUAUUGGAGGUCUUUGCAGCUUCACACCUGCUCCUCUUUGUUCAUUAGCUGGAUCUCAGUGUUAUGCUUGGUUCCACUCGGCGUGAUAAGUUAUCUAUCGCUGAGGACACUGUAAAAGGUGGCCAAGGUAAAUGCAGAUGAACCGCUUCUAAUAGUCCAUUGACUUGGACAAUACUUUUAUGAUCUGAUCUCAAAUCAGGUAGGACUACCCGCUGAACUUAAGC